This 291-nucleotide ribosomal RNA is filed under the name Chaetoceros affinis. RNAcentral describes it as "partial Bacterial small subunit ribosomal RNA". It matches the Rfam family "Bacterial small subunit ribosomal RNA", at positions 139 to 430 of the family's 1533-position model. The record is from RNAcentral. Lineage: Eukaryota; Bacillariophyta; Thalassiosirophyceae; Chaetocerotales; Chaetocerotaceae.
UGGGAUAAGCCCGGGAAACUUGGUCUAAUACUGGAUGCUACAUGUCACCGCAUGGUGGUGUGUGGAAAGGGUUUACUGGUCUUGGAUGGGCUCACGGCCUAUCAGCUUGUUGGUGAGGUAAUGGCUCACCAAGGCGACGAUCUAUAGCUGGUCUGAGAGGAUGAUCAGCCACAUUGGGACUGAGACACGGCCCAAACUCCUACGGGAGGCAGCAGUGGGGAAUCUUGGACAAUGGGCGAAAGCCUGAUCCAGCCAUGCCGCGUGAGUGAUGAAGGCCCUAGGGUUGUAAAG